This 372-nucleotide ribosomal RNA is filed under the name Triticum aestivum (bread wheat). RNAcentral's name for it is "partial small subunit ribosomal RNA". Lineage: Eukaryota; Viridiplantae; Streptophyta; Magnoliopsida; Poales; Poaceae. The record is from RNAcentral.
AUGGGUCAAACUCUUGGUUGUUCUUCUCCCCUGGCCCUGAUUUUGCUUAGCCACGGAGAAUUCCGUCCAUCACGCCCUGCAAUCAAUCUGUCCAUCUUGACUGCUCAAGAUGGAAUGGCGAGGACAGUUCGAUCGACCAUAACAUGGAGAUGCAUCCGAUUUAUCGGCCAUGCAAGCGUCACAUCAGUCCACCGAGAAAAGAUCUGCACUGCACUGCACUGCUCAUACCGGAAUAUCUUGCGCAGUUUCCAGAGCAAAGAUUAUACAACGAGAGAAAAGAGAGGAGGCUCCGACGGCCAGAUGCACGCUGCUACGCGACAGAGCAGGACACAGUUUUCACAUCAUGACCCAAAUCGCGACCCCUUAUCCUGA